ACACGUGAAAGGAGGUGGUCCAGAAGAUGCAUUCUUACCGGACUUGUGAGGUGGCUGCCCGCUAGCAGCUUCCCUGCCGACAGGAUUCACUGCGCAGCGUUGCAAGCGGCCAGCGAAUUCAAGGCAGUCACCCGACCCGCAGGCGCUUCCGGACUUUUUGGUCCGCCGGAAGACGACGAGAAGGUCCCCUCGGGGAAACCGUUCGUCAACGCCUGCGGGUCGUUCCCA
RNAcentral lists this small RNA (228 nucleotides) under Nocardioides sp. Root151. RNAcentral describes it as "Actinobacteria sRNA Ms_IGR-5". It matches the Rfam family "Actinobacteria sRNA Ms_IGR-5". Lineage: Bacteria; Bacillati; Actinomycetota; Actinomycetes; Propionibacteriales; Nocardioidaceae. The record is from Rfam by way of RNAcentral.